RNAcentral lists this ribosomal RNA (253 nucleotides) under uncultured bacterium. RNAcentral's name for it is "partial 16S ribosomal RNA". It matches the Rfam family "Bacterial small subunit ribosomal RNA", at positions 524 to 776 of the family's 1533-position model. The record is from RNAcentral.
UACGAGGGGGGCAAGCGUUGUUCGGAUUCACUGGGCGUAAAGGGUGCGUAGGUGGCUUGGUAAGUUUGAUGUGAAAUCUCCGGGCUUAACCCGGAAAUGGCAUUGAAUACUAUUGAGCUGGAGGUUUGGAGGGGGGACUGGAAUUCUCGGUGUAGCAGUGAAAUGCGUAGAUAUCGAGAGGAACACCAGUGGCGAAGGCGAGUCCCUGGACAACACCUGACACUGAGGCACGAAAGCUAGGGGAGCAAACAGG